This 262-nucleotide ribosomal RNA is filed under the name uncultured Staphylococcus sp. Its description in RNAcentral is "partial 16S ribosomal RNA". It matches the Rfam family "Bacterial small subunit ribosomal RNA", at positions 99 to 354 of the family's 1533-position model. Lineage: Bacteria; Bacillati; Bacillota; Bacilli; Caryophanales; Staphylococcaceae. The record is from RNAcentral.
CGGACGGGUGAGUAACACGUGGAUAACCUACCUAUAAGACUGGGAUAACUUCGGGAAACCGGAGCUAAUACCGGAUAAUAUAUUGAACCGCAUGGUUCAAUAGUGAAAGACGGUUUUGCUGUCACUUAUAGAUGGAUCCGCGCCGCAUUAGCUAGUUGGUAAGGUAACGGCUUACCAAGGCAACGAUGCGUAGCCGACCUGAGAGGGUGAUCGGCCACACUGGAACUGAGACACGGUCCAGACUCCACGGGAGGCAGCAGAU